RNAcentral lists this ribosomal RNA (253 nucleotides) under uncultured bacterium. RNAcentral's name for it is "partial 16S ribosomal RNA". It matches the Rfam family "Bacterial small subunit ribosomal RNA", at positions 524 to 776 of the family's 1533-position model. The record is from RNAcentral.
UACGAAGGUGGCAAGCGUUGUUCGGAUUUACUGGGCGUACAGGGAGCGUAGGCGGUUGGGUAAGCCCUCCGUGAAAUCUCCGGGCCUAACCCGGAAAGUGCGGAGGGGACUGCUCGGCUAGAGGAUGGGAGAGGAGCGCGGAAUUCCCGGUGUAGCGGUGAAAUGCGUGGAGAUCGGGAGGAGGGCCGGUGGCGAAGGCGGCGCUCUGGAACAUUUCUGACGCUGAGGCUCGAAAGCGUGGGGAGCAAACAGG